Molecule: non-coding RNA, 38 nt
Filed under: Shewanella frigidimarina NCIMB 400
Lineage: Bacteria; Pseudomonadati; Pseudomonadota; Gammaproteobacteria; Alteromonadales; Shewanellaceae
Description: JUMPstart RNA
Rfam family: JUMPstart RNA
Source: RNAcentral
CAGCAAUCUAGAAGCUGUAAUCUAGUGGCGGUAGCGUG